RNAcentral lists this ribosomal RNA (368 nucleotides) under uncultured eukaryote. Its description in RNAcentral is "partial 18S ribosomal RNA". It matches the Rfam family "Eukaryotic small subunit ribosomal RNA", at positions 592 to 976 of the family's 1831-position model. The record is from RNAcentral.
CAGUAGCGUAUAUUAAAGUUGUUGCAGUUAAAAUGCUCGUAGUUGAAGUUCGGAUGCAGCAGAGCUUGGAAACGCUGUUAUGGUGCUUCCGUUGCUUUUGCUUGUCCACAGUGCGUUGCAAGUACGUAUGUGCUUGUGCGUGCAUUUUACUUUGAGAAACAUAGGGUGUUCCACGCAUGUUACGGCAUGAAUAUUCCAGCAUGGGAUAAUCUGGUACGACUUCCAAUCUGCCAUUUUGGUUCGUAGGUUGGAAGUAAUGAUUAAUAGGGACUGUCGGGGGCAUUGGUAUUUGACUGUCAGAGGUGAAAUUCUUAGAUUCGUUGAGGAUCAACCACUGCGAAAGCAUUUGUCAAGGAUGUCUCCAUUAA